RNAcentral lists this ribosomal RNA (301 nucleotides) under uncultured bacterium. RNAcentral describes it as "partial 16S ribosomal RNA". It matches the Rfam family "Bacterial small subunit ribosomal RNA", at positions 509 to 807 of the family's 1533-position model. The record is from RNAcentral.
CAGCAGCCGCGGUAAUGCGAAGGGGGCUAGCGUUGUUCGGAAUUACUGGGCGUAAAGGGCGCGUAGGCGGCCAUUCAAGUUAGAUGUGAAAGCCCUGGGCUCAACCUAGGAAUUGCAUUUGAUACUGUUUGGCUUGAGUUCGGGAGAGGUGAGUGGAAUUCCCAGUGUAGAGGUGAAAUUCGUAGAUAUUGGGAAGAACACCGGUGGCGAAGGCGGCAACCUGGUCCAUAAUUGACGCUGAGGCGCGAAAGCGUGGGGAGCAAACAGGAUUAGAUACCCCCGUAGUCCCUGUCUCUUAUAC